Molecule: ribosomal RNA, 513 nt
Filed under: Sakaina incisa
Lineage: Eukaryota; Metazoa; Arthropoda; Malacostraca; Decapoda; Pinnotheridae
Description: partial small subunit ribosomal RNA
Source: RNAcentral
UGAGUGAUUUUAUUAUUCUCUAACUAUAUAUAAAUAAAAGGUAAAAUUGAAUAUUAUUUUAUAAGAUAUAAAAAUUUUAAUUGAAGCUAAAAAAUUUUAGUAAUAAACUAGGAUUAGGUACCCUAUUAUUCUAAAUUUAAUUUGUACCUUAGGUUAGUAUUAGAUAUAUACUUAAAAACCAAAAAAUUUGGCGGUAAUUUAAUCUUUUCAGAGGAAUUUGCUUUUAAUCGAUAACCCACGAAAUAUCUUACUUAUUUUUGUAAAAGAGUUUGUAUACCAUCAUUAUCAGAUAAUUUUAAUAAAAUUAAUUAUUAAGCUCAAUUUCAUUAUAAAAAUUAGAUCAUGGUGCAGCUUAUGAAUAAGUCGAAGUGAAUUACAAUAGAGUUUUCUAGAAUGGAGUAAUAAAUGAAUAUUUAUUGUGAAGGUGGAUUUGAUUGUAUUUUAAAUUUAAAAAGUUUAAAUGAUAUAAGUUCUAAAUUAUGUACAUAUCGCCCGUCGCUUUCGUUAAUAACC